Molecule: long non-coding RNA, 1853 nt
Filed under: Phocoena sinus (vaquita)
Lineage: Eukaryota; Metazoa; Chordata; Mammalia; Artiodactyla; Phocoenidae
Description: lncRNA (ENSPSNG00000009449.1)
Source: RNAcentral
GGUUUACAUCUUGUCUUGUUGGGAAAAAAAAAAAUGUUAAGUUCUGCCUCGUUGGGUACAUCCUUGCAGAAUAAGUGUUCUUUUAAUAUAAAUCUGGAAAUUAUAUUGCCAUCAUAAAUUCUCUGGGAUGAUUUCCACUUAUGUAAGAGAUAGCAUUAUAUUGAAAAGCACUGAUUAAGGAAUUAAGUACUGGUUAAGGAAUUAUAGAAAAGUACUGGUUAAAGAACCUCUAAACUUCAGUAUAAUGUGACUUAUGUAAUUGCUUUAUCUGUUCUAAUUUAAGGCUUCUGAUUCUCCAAACCAGACAUUUCAACAAAACUCAUCUUCUGUAAUAAAUGCUAAUUAAGUUAGUGCUACACACACACAGACACACACACACAUGCAGACACACACACGUUUGUAUGUAAAUGGUUACCAUGCAAAGUGUUUUGAAAUUUGUUGUUUCUACAGGGACUAAUGUAAAAGGCUUGACAGAUAAAACUAGAAGAGGUGUAAUAAAGGGACAAUUCAAGAUACAAUCAAUGAAUCUCCCUGAGGCUGAUACAGAGCACUUCCCAGGUGCUGUUGGAAAAGGUAUAAUAAAGGGUGAAAUCAAGACACAAUCCAAGAGUUAUCCUGAGACUGAUACAGAACGCAUGAGAGAGACUGUUGGAAGAGAAAAAGCAAUUGAUGAACUCAAGACACAUCAUCAGAGUCACCCUGGUAAGAACAAGAAUUUUCCAAGUCUAAUAAUUUAUGGUUUAUGUCUUCUCUGGGACUUAAUUAACUAUGAAUCAUUAAUGAUAACAGUAACUGUAUGUUAGUAUUAAUGGACAGUGAUCUUCAUGAAUUUCCUCUUAUAAUUAGUUAAACUCUAGUAUUUACUGUCAAUGGAAAUCUAGCUGGAUAUUUUUCAGUUGUAAUCUCAUCCAUUUGGAAAGUAAUCCAUAUAAUCCAAUGCUCUAAUGACCUUAGAAUAUGCUUGGUUUAAGUAUUUAUAACUGUGAUUCUACUCACUUUCUUGCUGGCUUAGAAAGGAAUAUUGCUUUGAAAUUGAAAAAGCAAAAAAACUAGUUGAUGAGUGGUAUAAGAGGAGGAACAUAACAGUUAUUUCACUGAUUAGCAAUUUCCUCUACAUAAUUAAGUUGGUAUGUAAAUUUAUAUCUCUACUAGAGUGGAGUUCUCUAGCUGAGUUUUAUUAUUCACAGAUUACUGCUUUAGUCCUGGAGUAACAGGGUUCAAUACAUUUCUCUUUGUUGCAAGAAAUACUGUCAUUAUGAACUUUUUACAGAAUUGAUGCUGAAAGCUAGCAUUGGAAAAUAACUGAAUCCUCAGAUAUAAGCACCAAAAUACAUGUUUUCACUGAAAUUUAAGGCAAGAUUUCUGAAACUUUGCUUUUGAAUGCUUUAUUUUAUUAUAUUCUCGCUUUUAUUCCUGUAAAAAAAUAGUGUUGUAAAUGAAUCAAAUAAAUAUUACUUGCUCCAACAGCUUUUAACUGGGGAAAAGCUGGUGGUAUAAAAAUGAAAUUGUUGGAACCAAGCAGUUAAAUUUGGUGUAUUAUGAUAAGACAUUUUUCCAUGUCUUUAAUUUUCAGAGUAUUUUUGGUUAGGUUCUUUCAAUUAAUUUUUGCUUCAGUGUUGCUUACUAAUAGGAAUCCUUGUCAGUUUUGAAUAACAGCCUUAGACACAGCAGUAAAGUGCUUUCAUUUACAUCCAUUCAAUUUAAAAUGUCAUGCCUUUUAUCAACAAAGCUAAGUUAAUUAAUUUAUACUUAUUAAUGGUGAGUUUAUAAUUAAAUGCUCUAAAGAAAAUUUUAUAUUAGCAAUAUAAAUUCCUAAGAGAAAAGGUAUUAAAAGGAGAGUACAGAUCAAAUAU